CCGGUUUGAAUACAUGUGUUUUCUGACUUUUCGGAUAGCCAGCUCUUGUUUUUUGGAACUUACGACUUAUGGCAAGAGAGAAGAAAACUAUGUGACUUUAAAAGAAAACCAGUGAGAUAAAAUCAUAGAAAAUGUAUGAUGAUUCAGGAUGUGGUCAUUUGUGACAUUAAAACAGGAAUAGUCAUCACCAAUAGACGAAUUUCACUUUCCUAAGAGUUUUCUCCAAUUGUCGGCGUAUCGCUCAUUUUUCCCACUUGUCCUUUGUCCUGUUAUGUGGAUGCCCUAAGACAGUGUUUACCCAUCACUCCAUCUGAUAUCACUUGUUCUGUGCAUAUUUCUCUCUCAAACCUAAACUACAGAGAGCCUGUGGAUAGAGGAUGAAGAGUGACCUUGGACUAAUUUUCUAGGUCAAAGAUCAUAGGUGAUGUGAAGAAAACCAGGAAACUGAUGUUGAAAGAAGAACUGAAUGACCCUUAUGAAUGGACUUAAAUGUGAAAGACUGUUCCAUUGUUUAUCUAAGAUAUAUGAAUUUAUUUAAUAUUUUGAUAUCAUUGAAAAAUUCAGUUACAGUUUUUGUACAUCAAAUGAAUU
Molecule: long non-coding RNA, 591 nt
Organism: Saccostrea cuccullata (small rock oyster)
Lineage: Eukaryota; Metazoa; Mollusca; Bivalvia; Ostreida; Ostreidae
Exons: 5
Source: RefSeq, a predicted model, not a curated record